UAAUACAGAGGGUGCGAGCGUUAAUCGGAAUUACUGGGCGUAAAGCGUGCGUAGGCGGUUUAGUAAGUCAGAUGUGAAAGCCCUGGGCUUAACCUGGGAACUGCAUUUGAAACUGCUGAACUAGAGUGUGGUAGAGGGAAGUGGAAUUCCGGGUGUAGCGGUGAAAUGCGUAGAUAUCCGGAGGAACACCAGUGGCGAAGGCGACUUCCUGGACCAACACUGACGCUGAGGUACGAAAGCGUGGGUAGCAAACAGGAUUAGAUACCCUGGUAGUCCACGCCGUAAACGAUGUCAACUAGUUGUUGGGAGCAUUCUGGCUUUUAGUAACGUAGCUAACGCGAUAAGUUGACCGCCUGGGGAGUACGGCCGCAAGGUUA
Molecule: ribosomal RNA, 377 nt
Filed under: uncultured bacterium
Lineage: Bacteria
Description: bacterial SSU rRNA
Rfam family: Bacterial small subunit ribosomal RNA
Source: RNAcentral